UACGUAGGGGGCAAGCGUUGUCCGGAUUUAUUGGGCUUAAAGGGUGCGUAGGUGGCCCUGUAAGUCAGUGGUGAAAUAUCUCAGCUUAACUGAGAGGGUGCCAUUGAUACUGCAGGGCUUGAGUACAGAUGAGGUAGGCGGAAUUGACGGUGUAGCGGUGAAAUGCAUAGAUAUCGUCAAGAACACCGAUAGCGAAGGCAGCUUACCAAGCUGUAACUGACACUGAGGCACGAAAGUGUGGGGAUCAAACAGG
This 253-nucleotide ribosomal RNA is filed under the name uncultured bacterium. RNAcentral describes it as "partial 16S ribosomal RNA". It matches the Rfam family "Bacterial small subunit ribosomal RNA", at positions 524 to 776 of the family's 1533-position model. The record is from RNAcentral.